Molecule: unclassified non-coding RNA, 1474 nt
Organism: Leptinotarsa decemlineata (Colorado potato beetle)
Lineage: Eukaryota; Metazoa; Arthropoda; Insecta; Coleoptera; Chrysomelidae
Source: RefSeq, a predicted model, not a curated record
UUUUCAGCUUUGGUAAUUUUUUAUGAACUAAUAUAUGGUGUGGUCCAUUAAAUUUGCAACAAAUUAAACAUUUUUUAUCAAUUAGACCGCCAAAAGCCCAUGACAAUCGAGCAUGUACUUGAAAAUGUACUUGAACGCCAUGGAACAUUGUUGAAACAGCUAGAACAAUAAUGUAAAAGAAAAACUGAAGAAAAAGCAUUGUUGCAUUGCCAGAAGAAUAAGAAAUAAAAAGAAAAAUGGAAUGGAAAGAAGACCGAGAAAUGUUGUUCAAACAACUAGAAAGACAUCAGUAUUUGGAAAAGCAAAAAAAUUUACUUUUUAUGAAAAUGAGUGGGAGUCAAAGAAUUUUCCAGAAGAUGAAAAUCGAAAAAGUCGAAGGUGAAAUAUUUGAAGAGAGAAAAAGAAGUUCAAAGUGAAGUCUUAGGUAAACUGCAGAGUUUCAGUGAUCAAGUGAAAUAUUUUGAAGAAGAAUUGGGGGAGAUUAAAGAGCGGUGUCAAUGAGAAGAAAAUAAGAAACUGGGCAAAAAGGUGAGCUAACUAAAAGACCAACUAGAUUAUACCCACAUAGCCAGCCAUCCCAUUUCACUCCAACAUCAGGGACAUGAUAAAGUAAAAACUGUUGUCGACCACUCAUUGUGGGCCAUGUACCGUCGACAGAUCGAGGCAGCAUCCAAAAUGAAUGGCUAAAAGGAAGAGGAAAAGCCCACUGCAUCAGUACUGGUACUGCAUGGUCAGGCACUGUCGCAGAAAUUCAGUUUAUAUUCAUGUAUUGCAGCAUAAAGUCUAGCACAAAAAAGACCAAUGAGAGCUUCAGAAAGAUCCUUCCGCCAACUUCCAUUUGCAGAAUAGAAUGUCCUCAUAUUAGAUUGUCUCUAUGUCAUAUUCACAAAACAAGAAACACACUUUUGAAAUAUCAUGAUGUGCACUCACAUCAAAUUAGAUCUAACAGCUGGAUCUAUCCUUGACUAGAGAUCUGGUGUCGAAGGGAUCGACUUCCCUAUGUACAAAUGUAUAUAAUGAACUGCCAGAAUAAAUCAAAGUGAGACAACACUGCAGAUACUUUUGUAAUCUGUAUAUUGAGUAGUAAAAUUUUCCCGGCCUCAACAAAGUCUGCAAAAAGAUGAAUAUUGAUUGUGCAAGUGCUAUCGUUGGUUUUGAUUUUCAUGGAGGUUGGAGCCAUCCAACCUAUGAUGGAUUCAUAGUCUGUAAAGAAUUCGAAGACAAGGUGGUAGCUGCAUGGGAAUUGGAACAAGAGGAAAUGGAAAAGAGGGAAGCCGAAAAAAUCGAUAAAAGAGUUUAUGGCAAUUGGAGAAAGCUCAUAAAGGGUUUGUUGAUACGUGAGAGGCUCAAGGUCAAGUAUGACUUUGGUGGUGAGAACUCGUCAGAAGUACAAAAGGGAAAGAAGUCACAAUUGAAAAUAAACAAACGUAAAAUUGUUAGCGAUAGUGAAUCUGAAUAAAAAAUUUUUACUUAU